GACGAACGCUGGCGGCGUGCUUAACACAUGCAAGUCGAGCGGAAAGGCCACUUCGGUGGUCCUCGAGCGGCGAACGGGUGAGUAACACGUGAGUAAUCUGCCCCUCACUUUGGGAUAGCCACCGGAAACGGUGAUUAAUACCGGAUAUGACCAUAUGUCGCAUGGCGUGUGGUGGAAAGUUUUUCGGUGGGGGAUGUGCUCGCGGCCUAUCAGCUUGAUGGUGAGGUAAUGGCUCACCAUGGCUUCGACGGGUAGCCGGCCUGAGAGGGUGACCGGUCACACUGGGACUGAGACACGGCCCAGACUCCUACGGGAGGCAGCAGUGGGGAAUAUUGGACAAUGGGCGGAAGCCUGAUCCAGCAACGCCGCGUGAGGGAUGACGGCCUUCGGGUUGUAAACCUCUUUCAGUACCGACGAAGCGCAAGUGACGGUAGGUACAGAAGAAGCACCGGCCAACUACGUG
Molecule: ribosomal RNA, 463 nt
Filed under: uncultured bacterium
Lineage: Bacteria
Description: partial 16S ribosomal RNA
Rfam family: Bacterial small subunit ribosomal RNA
Source: RNAcentral